This 1656-nucleotide long non-coding RNA is filed under the name Takifugu rubripes (torafugu). RNAcentral's name for it is "lncRNA (ENSTRUG00000031024.1)". The record is from RNAcentral. Lineage: Eukaryota; Metazoa; Chordata; Actinopteri; Tetraodontiformes; Tetraodontidae.
AUGGAGCCUCCCGUACCUGGACAGGGAGCUGGUUCCAUAGCAGGGGGGCCUGGUAGCUAAAUGCCAAAGCUCUGCUACUGGAUGACAACACAGUCCAAAUAUUACAGCACAUGUGACUUUGGAUCCUCUGUUCAGGUCUACACGUUUCUAUAGACGUGCACUUUCAGUAUGAAGAGUAAAACAUCCUGGAUCAUUGACGUCGUCUCUGCUCAAGUCCUCCGUGGAUAAAAUCCAUCUUCCCCCAGUUAUUCUUCAAUGGACUCGUGAGAAAAGUUUCCUCAUCACUUUUUCCUCUCUUGUGACUAUGAAGAAAUAAAAUGAAGGAACAAUUAAUAGAUGCUGACAGGUGUAUUUCACAAGAAACAUCAUUAACAUUCUAUUAAUGCAGGGCCACAAUAGUAAAAUAUCAGCUCACAGACUGACUUGAAAGUUACAAUCAAAGAAGUGAGACUUACACCAAAGAGUCAUUACGGAGAUUAAACAACAAACUGUAAAGAUGAUGCCGAUAAUUCUCCAAAGCGUCAUGUGGAUGUAAAGGAUGUGUCGUCCAUCAAGUGUGUUUCCAUCUGCUCAUAAGAGUAUAAACAACAAAAACAUGAUUAUUGUAAUCACCAAACUGGCCAUACUUUACUCUAUGCAGCAUGUCGUCAUGUGUGUUAUUGUAAUAAACUUAUUUUUAAUAUUUUGAAAGCUGUGCUCCGAAUAACAGAAAGUGUAACUGACUCUAUUUAGAGUACAGUGAUCCCUCGUUUAUCGCGGGAGUUGCGUUCCAAAAAUAACACGCGAAAAGUGAAAUCCGUGAAGUAGCAACUUUAUUUUUUUUACAAUGCAAUACUGAACUAUAGAAUGAAACCAAAAAUCAAAACCUGUUUUAAAGCCCAAAAUUUGUUUAAAACAAUAAUUUUAAUCUAGUAAUACAAGGUUGGAAACAUUGUCACUGGCGUAUUUCCCAGUCCCAGCUGUGCCUCUUCGUCCUGACUCCGCUCCGCUGGAGCGUCUGUUUCUACUGAAGGCGCAGGAGUCUUUCUCCCAGAGAAGAACAUUGUUAUGGGUAGUUGUUGGCGCUCUUUCUUUUUCUGAGCAACAAGAUUUUUAUAAACGGAUAUGCCACCUUCGAUUAUAUUUGAGAACUGCAAUGAACGACUCGCAAAAAAAAAUCCGUGAAGCAGCGAAGCCGUGAAAGAUGAAACGCGAUAUAGCGAGGGAUCACUGUAGUACCAACUGUUACAUUUAUUAACUGUCUGGACCAACGUGACAUGCCGACAGUUGUCUGAGGCCUGGACACAGACUGAAGCUCAACGUUGCGCACUGAUAAUUCUGUGCCAAGACGAUAGAAAGGUGGGUGCUGAGCUGCUGCAGCGCCCCCUGCUGGCAGAGGGUGAUUCUAUGCAUUCCACUGCCUGUACCAAACUGUAACUCUGUAGUAGCUCGUUUAUUAUUGGAAACAUGUGAAGCACGUUAAAUGUUGUUAAUUAAAUGGGCCAAAAAAAAAACUUGUGGAGAGACAAAAAAAUAAGUCUCAAAUAAGUUUCAAAAGCAUCGAAACAGCCGUUUCUGACAGAGUUAAUGACCAACACUGCUGUAAUCUCAGCCAGAAAAGAUCCAAAUAAGUUUCAACAGCUUCGAAACAGCCAGAAAAGACCAGAGAAUCACCAG